RNAcentral lists this ribosomal RNA (445 nucleotides) under Phalaris arundinacea. RNAcentral describes it as "eukaryotic LSU rRNA". The stretch from base 305 to 445 matches the Rfam family "Eukaryotic large subunit ribosomal RNA", at positions 1 to 141 of the family's 3401-position model. Lineage: Eukaryota; Viridiplantae; Streptophyta; Magnoliopsida; Poales; Poaceae. The record is from RNAcentral.
UGCAGAAUCCCGCGAACCAUCGAGUCUUUGAACGCAAGUUGCGCCUGAGGCCAUUCGGUUGAGGGCACGCCUGCCUGGGCGUCACGCCAAACACGCUCCCAACUCCCCCUCAUCGGGAAGCGGGAUGCGGCAUGUGGCUUUCCGUCGCGCAAGUGGCGGUGGGCCGAAGAUAUGGCUGCCGGCGUAUCGUGCCGGACACAGCGCGUGGUGGGCGUACUCGCUUUACUUACCGCAGUGCAUUUGGCGCGUAGUCGACGUGAUGGCCUUGAAGGACCCUAUAACGGAGCGCAUGACACUUCGACCGCGACCCCAGGUCAGGCGGGAUUACCCGCUGAAUUUAAGCAUAUAAAUAAGCGGAGGAGAAGAAACUUACAAGGAUUCCCCUAGUAACGGCGAGCGAACCGGGAACAGCCCAGCUUGAGAAUCGGGCGGCCGUGCUGUCCGA